UUGAAAGGAAUUGAAAGCAAGGAUUUAAGAGUAUUCUUUUCCUUUCAUUUCCUCUUUUUCUUUUACCGAAUAUGAGAAAGUUUUUCCUUUCUUUUCCCUCUAAAUCCUUCCUGCCAAACAAAGCUUUAGUGGCCACCGGCAGUGAGUAUAUCCCCUGCAUGCAGUGUUAGGGUUUUAUGGGACAAAGAAAACCAGAGCAAAAAGAGAGAGAAAAGCCAUGCAUUUGAAGCUUGUACAGUUGUAUAUAUGCCGAAAAUGUUACAGAAUUAGAUACAGGUAAUUCCAUGUUAUCAAAUGAAGGGGCGGCAAAAGUGCUUCUGGUAGCAGUAGCUUCUUCAGCAUCACCAUAUAGUCCUUGUUCUUCAAAGUCAGCGAAAUAACUCUGAUUUUCAUCUGCCGGGUCAUUGUUCCCUUCUUGAAUUUGGUUGUUGACCUUGUUAGUAUCUUCUACUAUGUCGGUUCCAUUUGUCUCAUUGGACCUAGAUACUUUUCUCUCCUUUUGGACAUCUAUGUUUUUUGACUCUCUAAUGUGUCUUUCACUGUCUAGCUCAGUGAUAUCACUGCUGUCAUAAUUUUCUUGAGCUUGGUUUGCUUUUUCUGUUGACAUAGACACCACAUUGCUAACAUCAAUGGAGUUCUUGAACUGGUCAUCCUGUUGGGGGUUGUGUUCUCUGCUUAUCACACUGAAAAUAGCCUCAUUUGUUAUUUUACUUGCUUCUGGCGCCGAUUUAUCAUUUUGCUGUUUUGGCAGCUUAUGUGGCUCCUCGCUAAUCUCUUCUGGUGUGUUAGAUGGCCUUUCCCUGACAACAUCCUCACUUGUAGUUUCAGUAUCUUGCUUGGUAUUAGAAACUUCUUCGGCUGUUUCAUCUUCUAAGAAUUUCUCUAAAAGCUGCUCGCCAUUCACUGAAUCCUUGUCCUUGUUUUCUAUCAAUUUGGAGACUUUAUCGGUGUCUGCAGUGCAGUUGCAUAAUUUUCAUCAGUACAACAACCUAUUGUUGAGCAAUCGUCUUUUGCUGGGGCAAUAUUGAAAUUAUGUUCAUCUUUUGUUUUGUAUGAAAUCGCCACUCUCAAGAAGGUUUUAAUUGUUUCAAUUUUGUGAGUUUGUUCACUUUAUUUUUCUUUAGUAAAAGGAAAAUGACUUUGUAUAGUAGCGUGAAUAAUCUCAUCCUUUUGGUCAUCAUUCUCUCCAGCCUCUAUAACUUAUAGUGUUAAUAAUGAACUUUAUCUAUAUCUUCUUUCUAAUAUUGGGCUCUAGUUUGGUGCUAUAAUAAAUCAUGAAUUAAUAAAGAAAUGAAACUUUAAAAUUACUUACUGGCUAUUCUGUUUUCUUUGUUUUCAGAUUCAGUUAGUUCUUCCUGAAUUUGUGUCGCUUGUGUCUCUGGUUCUGUUUCCACAAUCUCUGGAAUUUUUUCCUCUUUUGUUAUAUGUGUUCCAAGGCCCACAAUCAUUUUCUGUGUCUCUACUUCAGACUUUCUAUCUGAACUUGUGAAUUCUGUGUUUUUACUUGCUUCAGAGGCUAGUGCAUCAUCAAGUUUCUCCUGUGAUGAAUCUUCAAUUUCUUGUUUCUCUUGUUCUUCAGGUUGCGAUUCGGAGCCAACAUCUUCCUUGCCACACCUUUUCUUUUUAGCGAUUGUAUUAUCUCCAACACAUGAAUCAUCUUCAUUCAGAGAUAUCAUGCUCUGUUUGAAGUCAGUUGUUCCUUUGAGAUUAGCCUCAGCAGUAAUCUGCAAGAAAUUUAAAUAUUGCAAUAUUCUAUCUUAUUGAGGGGACAUUAUUUAAGUGGAAUACUGGAAGAGAUUGGGGGAAGGCUUACGUCUUGAUGAAUAUCAGCAGUGUCACAGUUUCUAAAUGCCAAUGUGUCAACAUCGUCUUGUUGAUCUUUUGAAUUAGCAAUCCAUGAGCUGGCUUCUCCCAGGUCAGAGGAUGCAAUCUCCUCAAUUGGUUCAACUGCCCCAUUAUUGUCUGAGGUCAAUGUGAAAGCUUCGUCUAGAUUUUCUCUCUCUUUUCCCUCCUGCAUCAUCAUUUCCUUCAAUGUGCAUUCUUCAGGUUCAUGCUUUACCAUGACAGUUUGUGGAGUACCCUUGAUAGAAUUCCCUGAUUCAGUAGUAUUAGAUAAGAGAGUAUCUUCUUCAUUUCUCUUCCCUUUGUCUUUGUCUAUUUCUUCCCCUAGGCUCUCAGUAUUGCUUUCAAUAUUCUUGUAUUCAAGUUCUACUUUGCUUUUUAACGUGUCACUUGAUCCAUUCAAUUCCUCAAAUUCUUUUUCAGAUAAAGACUUGGAUGCCUCUUCUAGAUUACAAUCUAGUCGAGCUUCAUGCAAAUCUUUCUUUUCCUCAACUGUAUCAGUGCUCUCCCAAGGGCUGAUACCGAGCUCUUGAACAUCCUUCAUUAUUUCUGACGUUGACUCUUUAUUAUCGUCAAUUGUUAAAUUAGAUGUUUGUGACAUAUUAAAAUCUUCCAAGUCACUGGAUGUCAUCUUCUCAACUUCAUCUCUCUGUGUUUUCUUUUUUUCAGUAUCUGCCUUGAUUUCUGGUCCUUGGGCUACUAAACUGGAUGCUUUCUCCGAGUGAUCUGCUGCAGAAACGCUUGCUUCAAAAUUUCCAGGUGAGGCUGCUGGAUCCCUGGGAAGUUCUGCCGUUUCCUUCUUGAGUGAACUAAAAUUAUCCAUAUAAUCAAUAUGACCAUCUAUCUCAAGAAUUCCUUUGUUGUCCCUCUCGGUGUCACUCACCUCAUCUUUGCUGUGUAGCCCACUUUCAAGUUCUUGAUCAGUAGACAUAACACCUUCUGAAGUUGUUUUGCCUUUGGCAUCUACACCUGGACUUUCAAUAGGCUGCUCUUCUGCCUCUUCUGCAGUAUCAACCUUUUUAUUGGCCUCCUUCUGGUCAUUGCUCUUUGAAAUUGUGAUUUUUGUAUCAUCUGAUAUUGCUUUUGGGCAAUCUUCUGAUUGCCUAAAAUUGUCUUCGCAAGCAACCUUUUCUACACUUGGUGGGUACAAAAAACAUUCACCAUCUGUGUAUUCAUUGUUGCCUUCUCCCACUUUGAGAUUUGGUUUUAUUUGCUCAUCACCUUUUGUGCCAUCUGUUUGUAGCUCAUCUUCAAAACCAGUGUGCUCCUUUUCCUGGUUUGCCGUGCUUAUGUUGCAUUGUUUGUUUCUUCUAUCAAUAUCAUUCUUAUCUCUUGCCUGUGGGAUGAUGGAAGUUUAUGCUUAAGGUGCCAUAUGAUGCUCAAAAACAGGCUAGUCCAGAGAAAAAAGUAUUAUAUCUUGUAUUGGAUGGGAAAGAAUUGUCCCAUGUAUGCCGAAGAAAGUUAUGAACUUUUGGAAUCCCUAUCAAGUGGAUUCAACUGCCAAAAGACAGAAUUUCAAGCCUUCACACUGCAGACUGGAAGGAGAACCUGUUUCUGUUCCAGGUGUUAUCUCUGCUGAGUUGGCUGGUCCUACUGAUUGAUUGGUCAUUUGCCUAACUGGACAAGCGUGAGUGACACAAGCAGCUUAAUCAAGUAUUUUGUUCCUACCAAUCCUCAUAUUUCUAACUUGAAAUUGCCAACUUCCAAAUUAUGUAUUUGUUGAUGCUGGCCAGCCGAAAGUAAAUAUACUGAUCAUAUACAAUCUUCUUAACACACUCUCUUUCGACGAUUUUUAACGACCCGUUUGGUAAACAGUAUUGUACUAGAUUUGUGUGAAUUUUUGUAAGAAACAUCUCAUGACAAUGUUCAUGGUAAUACAACUCUAUGUUCUAAA
Long non-coding RNA from Beta vulgaris subsp. vulgaris (sugar beet), 3736 nucleotides. RefSeq lists it as uncharacterized. NCBI's taxonomy places the organism in Eukaryota, Viridiplantae, Streptophyta, Magnoliopsida, Caryophyllales, Amaranthaceae. The transcript is spliced from 4 exons. The record is from RefSeq and is a predicted model, not a curated record.